This 487-nucleotide ribosomal RNA is filed under the name uncultured bacterium. RNAcentral's name for it is "bacterial SSU rRNA". It matches the Rfam family "Bacterial small subunit ribosomal RNA", at positions 30 to 507 of the family's 1533-position model. The record is from RNAcentral.
UGAACGCUAGCGGCAGGCUUAACACAUGCAAGUCGAGGGGCAGCAUAAUGGAUAGCAAUAUCUAUGGUGGCGACCGGCGCACGGGUGCGUAACGCGUAUGCAACCUACCUUUAACAGGGGGAUAACACUGAGAAAUUGGUACUAAUACCCCAUAAUAUCAUAGAAGGCAUCUUUUAUGGUUGAAAAUUCCGAUGGUUAGAGAUGGGCAUGCGUUGUAUUAGCUAGUUGGUGGGGUAACGGCUCACCAAGGCGACGAUACAUAGGGGGACUGAGAGGUUAACCCCCCCACACUGGUACUGAGACACGGACCAGACUCCUACGGGAGGCAGCAGUGAGGAAUAUUGGUCAAUGGACGCAAGUCUGAACCAGCCAUGCCGCGUGCAGGAUGACGGCUCUAUGAGUUGUAAACUGCUUUUGUACUAGGGUAAACUCACCUACGUGUAGGUGACUGAAAGUAUGGUACGAAUAAGGAUCGGCUAACUCCGUG